RNAcentral lists this long non-coding RNA (476 nucleotides) under Sorghum bicolor (sorghum). RNAcentral describes it as "long non-coding RNA (SBIC_LNC005846)". Lineage: Eukaryota; Viridiplantae; Streptophyta; Magnoliopsida; Poales; Poaceae. The record is from RNAcentral.
GCGGUUGGAGUUGGAGGGGUUGGAGCAGGAGCACUAAGCAGCGAACGGAUAAUGAGCAGCAGCAGCAGCCUCACCUCCGGCAUCUCUGCCUCACCAUCGGCAGCGGCCAGCACUGCUCGCCACCGCCAUGACGGAGCGCCGCAGCAGCUGAGGGUGAAGGCGGCGGUGCGGCCACAGCAGCAGCAACAGCUGCUGCACGGUGGCCGCCGGCAUACAAGGGGCAGCGCGGUGGUGGUGAGGGCCGGUCCUGGGCCGCUGUCGGAGAUCGAGCCGGACCUGGAGGAGGACGCCAUCGACGUGUAUCGCACCAACGGCAUCGCCCCGGUCCGUCCCCCGUUGCUUCUUCUUGUUCUUCUCAAUUUUGCCAUUGCCGGCCGCGCUUAGAACACGCACGAAAGCUGCGAAUCUUGACGGAGGUUGUGCCACGAACGAACUCUGAAGAACGGAUGACGUUUCGUUCGUUCAUGGAUAACACU